GACAGGGGCCUCAAGCGUUAGGCGGAAUCACUGGGCUUAAAGCGUGUGUAGGCGGGUCGUUAAGUGUCUUGUGAAAUCCCACGGCUCACCCGUGGAACUGCUGGGCAUACUGGCGAUCUUGGGCCAACUAGGGGCAACUGGAACAAGCGGUGGAGCGGUGAAAUGCGUAGAUAUCGCUUGGAACGCCAACGGUGAAAACAGGUUGCUGGGGUUGUGCCGACGCUGAGACACGAAAGCCAGGGGAGCAAACGGG
This 253-nucleotide ribosomal RNA is filed under the name uncultured bacterium. RNAcentral describes it as "partial 16S ribosomal RNA". It matches the Rfam family "Bacterial small subunit ribosomal RNA", at positions 524 to 776 of the family's 1533-position model. The record is from RNAcentral.